This 398-nucleotide ribosomal RNA is filed under the name uncultured bacterium. RNAcentral describes it as "bacterial SSU rRNA". It matches the Rfam family "Bacterial small subunit ribosomal RNA", at positions 30 to 429 of the family's 1533-position model. The record is from RNAcentral.
AUUGAACGCUGGCGGCAUGCCUUACACAUGCAAGUCGAACGGCAGCACGGGAGCAAUCCUGGUGGCGAGUGGCGAACGGGUGAGUAAUAUAUCGGAACGUGCCCAGUCGUGGGGAUAACGUAGCGAAAGCUACGCUAAUACCGCAUACGAUCUAUGGAUGAAAGCGGGGGAUCGCAAGACCUCGCGCGAUUGGAGCGGCCGAUAUCAGAUUAGGUAGUUGGUGAGGUAAAGGCUCACCAAGCCGACGAUCUGUAGCUGGUCUGAGAGGACGACCAGCCACACUGGGACUGAGACACGGCCCAGACUCCUACGGGAGGCAGCAGUGGGGAAUUUUGGACAAUGGGCGCAAGCCUGAUCCAGCAAUGCCGCGUGCAGGAUGAAGGCCUUCGGGUUGUAAC